This 661-nucleotide small RNA is filed under the name Pongo abelii (Sumatran orangutan). RNAcentral describes it as "retained intron". Lineage: Eukaryota; Metazoa; Chordata; Mammalia; Primates; Hominidae. The record is from RNAcentral.
GGGCGAACAGAGGCAGGCAAGGACAGGCUGGGCAUUCUGCAGCUGAAGCCGGAGGAGCCGCUGACCAGUCUGGAUGGUUGGACCCAGGCGGGGCCAGCUGCCUUCUUGCGCCGCCGUUCUCACUGCAUCUUCCGCUCUGGCCAAAGCCACAUGGGAGGGUAUGGGAGGGAGAGACUCGGAGGAGGAGGAGGGAGUCGGGGCGAUGGCUCUCCUCACAGCGUGGCCCUCAGCAGCAGAGGCAGGUCAUCUUCCUGAGCAUUUGUGGCGCUCCUCUUAAAGAUAAUGUCCGAGUUUUCUUUACAUACCUGUAGCUGUUUUUACUUUUCUGUUUUUGAAGUCAGUUUGUGUCUUGACGUGUCCCUUGCAAUAUCCCUAUCGUUAUAUAUGCUGUGUGCCUUAUGAAAUGCUGGGAUCUGGAAAAUCCAACCAACCAACCCACCGGCUCCUCACCGUCUCCACCUCUGCCUUUGACUGACACCUCAAUCUGUCAAUCGGAACCGCCUACCAUGCGAUUGGUCGGAUGGCGUUUCGGGGGGCGGUGCAUGCAGAGAAGCCAACAGAGCAGUAAGCGCAGCAGCCGGAGUGUGGAAGAUGACAAGGAGGGUCACCUGGUGUGCCGGAUCGGCGAUUGGCUCCAAGAGCGAUAUGAGAUUGUGGGGAA